GGCGUUGCGAUGAAGGAGAUCCAGUAAGUAAACAGGUAUUCCGUACAGAGAGCUGCCGGGCGGUGUGAGGCAGCCGGAGCUGUUGAACCGAAAUACUCUCCGGAGCUGUUAUCUGAAUCCCGACAGGGUAGUAGGAGAGCCGGGGGCGCCCGAUACAGCGCAAAGGAUAUGAAAGUAUCCGGAGGCCGUUUCCGACGGAACGGCAAAAUAAGAGGUGGUACCGCGAUGAUUAUUCGCCCUCUGU
Molecule: non-coding RNA, 244 nt
Filed under: Clostridiales bacterium
Lineage: Bacteria; Bacillati; Bacillota; Clostridia; Eubacteriales
Description: T-box sequence
Rfam family: T-box leader
About the family: Uncharged tRNA acts as the effector for transcription antitermination of genes in the T-box leader family. T-boxes are found upstream of many aminoacyl-tRNA synthetase genes and some amino acid biosynthetic genes usually in Gram-positive bacteria. The anticodon of a specific tRNA base pairs to a specifier sequence within the T-box motif, and the NCCA acceptor tail of the tRNA base pairs to a conserved bulge in the T-box antiterminator hairpin.
Source: RNAcentral